RNAcentral lists this long non-coding RNA (209 nucleotides) under Musa acuminata (dwarf banana). RNAcentral's name for it is "long non-coding RNA (MACU_LNC011916)". Lineage: Eukaryota; Viridiplantae; Streptophyta; Magnoliopsida; Zingiberales; Musaceae. The record is from RNAcentral.
UCUUCUUCUCCCCAUGCCCCACCGCUCCUCUCUCUGUUUCUCGAGAAAUAGAGAGCGUGGGAGGCGGUGGGAUAAAACCGAAUUUUUUUUUUUUUUUGUAACUUAACAGUUUAGUCCUUGAAAUUUCUAUUUUUACAUAUAGGUCCUCCAAUUUACAUAUAAAUCUUUAUUAAUAAAUUUUUAAAAGUGAGGGAUAUUACACUCUCCCC